GGUAAGAUGGCUGAAUGUUCUAGGCGUUAGGCUGUAGUCCUUUUUACAGGGGUUUAAUUCCCCUUCUUACCA
Molecule: transfer RNA, 72 nt
Filed under: Podargus strigoides (tawny frogmouth)
Lineage: Eukaryota; Metazoa; Chordata; Aves; Caprimulgiformes; Podargidae
Description: tRNA-Tyr
Rfam family: tRNA
About the family: Transfer RNA (tRNA) molecules are approximately 80 nucleotides in length. Their secondary structure includes four short double-helical elements and three loops (D, anti-codon, and T loops). Further hydrogen bonds mediate the characteristic L-shaped molecular structure. tRNAs have two regions of fundamental functional importance: the anti-codon, which is responsible for specific mRNA codon recognition, and the 3' end, to which the tRNAs corresponding amino acid is attached (by aminoacyl-tRNA synthetases). tRNAs cope with the degeneracy of the genetic code in two manners: having more than one tRNA (with a specific anti-codon) for a particular amino acid; and 'wobble' base-pairing, i.e. permitting non-standard base-pairing at the 3rd anti-codon position.
Source: RNAcentral